UACGAAGGGGGCUAGCGUUGCUCGGAAUCACUGGGCGUAAAGCGCACGUAGGCGGCUUCUUAAGUCAGGGGUGAAAUCCUGGAGCUCAACUCCAGAACUGCCCUUGAUACUGAGAGGCUCGAGUCCGGGAGAGGUGAGUGGAACUGCGAGUGUAGAGGUGAAAUUCGUAGAUAUUCGCAAGAACACCAGUGGCGAAGGCGGCUCACUGGCCCGUAACUGACGCUGAGGCACGAAAGCGUGGGGAGCAAACAGG
RNAcentral lists this ribosomal RNA (253 nucleotides) under uncultured bacterium. Its description in RNAcentral is "partial 16S ribosomal RNA". It matches the Rfam family "Bacterial small subunit ribosomal RNA", at positions 524 to 776 of the family's 1533-position model. The record is from RNAcentral.